RNAcentral lists this ribosomal RNA (450 nucleotides) under uncultured bacterium. RNAcentral describes it as "partial 16S ribosomal RNA". It matches the Rfam family "Bacterial small subunit ribosomal RNA", at positions 354 to 796 of the family's 1533-position model. The record is from RNAcentral.
GUGGGGAAUUUUGGACAAUGGGGGCAACCCUGAUCCAGCCAUGCCGCGUGCGGGAAGAAGGCCUUCGGGUUGUAAACCGCUUUUGUCAGGGAAGAAAUCCUUUGGGUUAAUACCUCGGAGGGAUGACGGUACCUGAAGAAUAAGCACCGGCUAACUACGUGCCAGCAGCCGCGGUAAUACGUAGGGUGCGAGCGUUAAUCCGAAUUACUGGGCGUAAAGCGUGCGCAGGCGGUUUUGUAAGAUCGAUGUGAAAUCCCCGGGCUCAACCUGGGAACUGCAUUGGUGACUGCAAGGCUGGAGUGCGGCAGAGGGGGAUGGAAUUCCGCGUGUAGCAGUGAAAUGCGUAGAUAUGCGGAGGAACACCGAUGGCGAAGGCAAUCCCCUGGGCCUGCACUGACGCUCAUGCACGAAAGCGUGGGGAGCAAACAGGAUUAGAAACCCGGGUAGUCC